This 474-nucleotide ribosomal RNA is filed under the name uncultured bacterium. Its description in RNAcentral is "bacterial SSU rRNA". It matches the Rfam family "Bacterial small subunit ribosomal RNA", at positions 38 to 507 of the family's 1533-position model. The record is from RNAcentral.
GGCGGCAGGCUUAACACAUGCAAGUCGAGCGGUAGCAGAUCUAGCUUGCUAGAUGCUGACGAGCGGCGGACGGGUGAGUAACGCGUAGGAACCUGCCCAGUAGUGGGGGAUAGCCCGGGGAAACUCGGAUUAAUACCGCAUACGCUCUACGGAGGAAAGAGGGGCUUCGGGCUCUCGCUAUUGGAUGGGCCUGCGUGAGAUUAGCUAGUUGGUGAGGUAAUGGCUCACCAAGGCGACAAUCUCUAGCUGGUCUGAGAGGAUGAUCAGCCACACUGGGACUGAGACACGGCCCAGACUCCUACGGGAGGCAGCAGUGGGGAAUAUUGCACAAUGGGCGCAAGCCUGAUGCAGCCAUGCCGCGUGUGUGAAGAAGGCUUUCGGGUUGUAAAGCACUUUCAGUGGGGAGGAAGGCCUCGUAGUUAAUAGCUGCGAGGAUUGACGUUACCCACAGAAGAAGCACCGGCUAACUCCGUG